Small nuclear RNA from Otolemur garnettii (small-eared galago), 140 nucleotides. Its record names the gene U4. It matches the Rfam family "U4 spliceosomal RNA". From Rfam's summary of the family: U4 small nuclear RNA (U4 snRNA) is a component of the major U2-dependent spliceosome. The structure of U4 snRNA from yeast and human has been reported. U4 snRNA presents a k-turn RNA motif in the 5p-SL related to recognition of Snu13 protein. Lineage: Eukaryota; Metazoa; Chordata; Mammalia; Primates; Galagidae. The record is from Ensembl.
AGCUUUUGCAGCGGCAAUAUCUCAGCCAAUGAGGUUUAGCCAAACUGCGAUUAUUGCCAAUUCAAAACGUUUCCCAGUACCCUGCUAUGAUGACUAGUGAUAUAGUUGUUACUGGCAAAUUUUGACAGUCUCUAUGGAGG